This 199-nucleotide long non-coding RNA is filed under the name Ananas comosus (pineapple). Its description in RNAcentral is "long non-coding RNA (ACOM_LNC038060)". Lineage: Eukaryota; Viridiplantae; Streptophyta; Magnoliopsida; Poales; Bromeliaceae. The record is from RNAcentral.
CGGUUGUGGCGCAGUUGCAAUAUUGGGCCGUGCCGGAUACGGGUGCUGCGGGAGGCCGAUUGCAAGUGUCGACAAGCAAUCGGAACGCGAUACAGGUGAGUUGUGUUUACCGAAGUGACUAGGUCGCCUGUAUGUCUAAGAAUGAGUAUUAUUAUUGAUGUAUGCAAUGGUAGCUAAUGAUAGAAUGUAUAAAUGCAUG